GAUGAACGCUGGCGGCGUGCUUAACACAUGCAAGUCGAACGGUGAAGCCAAGCUUGCUUGGUGGAUCAGUGGCGAACGGGUGAGUAACACGUGAGCAACCUGCCCUGAACUCUGGGAUAAGCGCUGGAAACGGCGUCUAAUACUGGAUACGAGCUGCGGAGGCAUCUUCGUGGUUGGAAAGAUUUUUUCGGUUUGGGAUGGGCUCGCGGCCUAUCAGCUUGUUGGUGAGGUAAUGGCUCACCAAGGCGUCGACGGGUAGCCGGCCUGAGAGGGUGACCGGCCACACUGGGACUGAGACACGGCCCAGACUCCUACGGGAGGCAG
This 324-nucleotide ribosomal RNA is filed under the name uncultured Actinomycetes bacterium. RNAcentral's name for it is "bacterial SSU rRNA". It matches the Rfam family "Bacterial small subunit ribosomal RNA", at positions 28 to 351 of the family's 1533-position model. The record is from RNAcentral. Lineage: Bacteria; Bacillati; Actinomycetota; Actinomycetes.